UUUUAGCCCCGAUUGAAGUGGAAAUCCUGUCAUUGCGUUUGCGUAAUGUGUUUGAUUGGAUUGCUUCGUUCCUCGCAAUGACAGAUUGCAACGGAAAGCAGGAAAAAGG
RNAcentral lists this small RNA (109 nucleotides) under Flavobacterium dankookense. RNAcentral's name for it is "Flavobacterium sp. ARSA-19 Flavo-1 RNA". It matches the Rfam family "Flavo-1 RNA". Lineage: Bacteria; Pseudomonadati; Bacteroidota; Flavobacteriia; Flavobacteriales; Flavobacteriaceae. The record is from Rfam by way of RNAcentral.